This is a long non-coding RNA of Epinephelus lanceolatus (giant grouper), 456 nucleotides long. RefSeq lists it as uncharacterized. Lineage: Eukaryota; Metazoa; Chordata; Actinopteri; Perciformes; Serranidae. The record is from RefSeq and is a predicted model, not a curated record.
AAGAAGAAGGAAGAUGAAGACAUCAGUCAUCGCGAGUCUGAUGUGUCUCGGUUGGAGGCUGGCGAAGAAGCUCCAGAAUGUUCUACCUCACACCAAGAUCUGAACCGCUUCCCAAACCAGUCUCAUGGUACAGCUGGGCAGCGAGGCUUCGGACGUCAUCAAUGUCACUCGUCUGAAACGCUACAAGCCUCGAUAGGCGCAUCGCGGAAACUCUUCCUGGAUUACUCGACACACGCUUCGAAGCAUCAGCACACCACACGCUGUCCUGAAGUCAUUUAAAGAGGGAACAGAUAAUGUCCGAAGACAUGCAGCUGAACACCUAAAACAUGCUACAGCAAGAAGAAGACGGGAGGCAACAUUAACUCUUCAUCCCUGGAGCCCCUGUGUCAAGGGGUGUUGGGUGUUUAUUGGUUGUUGUAUUUGUUAAAAACUUUGAAUAAUACACUUCAGUGUACA